This is a long non-coding RNA of Heterocephalus glaber (naked mole-rat), 342 nucleotides long. The record is from Ensembl. Lineage: Eukaryota; Metazoa; Chordata; Mammalia; Rodentia; Bathyergidae.
AUGCAGCUGACUCUGGAGGUGAAGAUACAUACAGAAGACAGAUUGCAACAUAUUUUCUUGCAUUAAAGGGGCAGCAACCCACACAAAUGUUAGAAUGUACAAGGAACAUGCUAGGCUCUUCUGGAGGAACUGUCAACUUGACUCUUGGGAGAGUCCUCAGAAGAAGGACCUAAUUUCAAGGUGGUGCAAGCUGAGUGGAUACUAGAGGUAGAAGAUUACUUGGUGCCCAAGAAACCUGAGGGGCAACUAUUAUAGAAAUGAAGGAAAACUGGAAGCCAUAUUGAAGUUGGACUGCAACCAACAGCCAGGGAUGCUUUCCCAGGCUCCUAGGGCAGAGAAGAU